AGUGAACGCUGGCGGUAGGCCUAACACAUGCAAGUCGAACGGCAGCACAGUAAGAGCUUGCUCUUACGGGUGGCGAGUGGCGGACGGGUGAGGAAUACAUCGGAAUCUACUUUUUCGUGGGGGAUAACGUAGGGAAACUUACGCUAAUACAGCAUACGACCUACGGGUGAAAGCAGGGGAUCUUCGGACCUUGCGCGAUUGAAUGAGCCGAUGUCGGAUUAGCUAGUUGGCGGGGUAAGGGCCCACCAAGGCGACGAUCCGUAGCUGGUCUGAGAGGAUGAUAGGCCACACUGGAACGGAGACACGGUCCAGACUCCUAAGGGAGGCAGCAGUGGGGAAUAUUGGACAAUGGGCGCAAGCCUGAUCCAGCCGUACCGCGUGGGUGAAGAAGGCCUUCGGGUUGUAAAGCCGUUUUGUUGGGAAAGAACAGCAGCAGGUUAAUACCCCGCUGUUCUGACGGUACCCAAAGAAUAAGCACCGGCUAACUUCGUG
Molecule: ribosomal RNA, 492 nt
Filed under: uncultured bacterium
Lineage: Bacteria
Description: partial 16S ribosomal RNA
Rfam family: Bacterial small subunit ribosomal RNA
Source: RNAcentral